GCCUGGCUUUGCCGUUUCCUUUGGCAGCUCCCAAGACCUGAGGGUAGGAGUCCUGGGCAGCUAGGACCUGCCAGGCCAUCCUGUAUCUCCCAUGGGGUUCACGACCCAGGGACCCCUGUUCCUAUCUGAGAGGAUCACUUCUUCCUGAAGCUGGAACCCGAUACUUGUUGGUGCCAACAACUGAAACCAGAUGUGCAGACACACAUGUCCCUGCAGACACACGUGUUCAUGUGGGGCACAUGUGUCCGUUUGGAGGCCAGAAGUCAACCUCAGUAUUGUUCACUCAGCAAAUAUUGAACAAUAUUCUUUGGCACCGAGGACUCAGUCUAGCAAGGAAAUGAGCUGUCAAACAAACAUGACGCACCACAAGCCCGGGGCAUGUGGGAAU
Molecule: long non-coding RNA, 388 nt
Filed under: Mus caroli (Ryukyu mouse)
Lineage: Eukaryota; Metazoa; Chordata; Mammalia; Rodentia; Muridae
Description: lncRNA (MGP_CAROLIEiJ_G0003304.1)
Source: RNAcentral